GAAGCCGCGUCCGCACGCGCGGUGCGGAGCAGGCUGCAGAGAUGUUGCUUGCGGGGUGGUUGUCUCUGUGUGCUGCGCUCUGCAGCCUCCUGCUGGGGCAGGCCGAGGCCCCGAACCCCGGGGUACCGCCGGAGCGGAGCCGUCCCUACGCGGUGCUGCGUGGGCAGAACCUGGUGCUGAUGGGAACCAUUUUUAGCAUCCUGCUGGUGACCAUCAUCCUUAUGGCAUUUUGUGUCUACAAGCCCAUUCGUCGUCGGUGACAGCCACAGAAGAUCACUCGGCUUCAAGUCUGGGACAGCAUGAGUUGUGCUUGCAUGUGAGCCCCUGGAGAUGAUAGAAUCAGAACUUGUAGGAAGUGCCCACCGAUCUGGGGGACUUAGAAAAGCAACUAGCAGUAAUUGUUUCCUAGCCUCAGUAUUGGCUGCCGAGUCAGCAUCUUGGUGCUUUUGUUUGGCUGUGCUGGCUAAAAGUAAAGGCUGAAGCUCCAAGACUCCUCUAAAGACAUGUCCUUUGCCAAGUGUCCAGAAGAGCUGCGCUGGAGAGCACUAAUCACUAAUGCUUGAAAUAAGGAAGAGGAAGACUCAACAUGUAGACAUCCCCCACUUUCAACCAUUCUGUCUUGGUAUGUUACAUGGGGGCCAGUAAGAUGGCUCAGAAGGUUAGAGGGGCUUGCAGCCAAGCCUGAUAACCUGAGUUUGGUUCUUGGAACUCAUCUGGUGGAAGGAGAGAACUGACUCCCGUGGCUUGUUCUUUGACCUCCACACACGAAUAAGUAAAUAUAAAAACAAAGACGACGUUUCCUUCCUACUGAGGUGCCCUAGGAUACCCUGGUUGAAAAGCCAGUGUUCAUUGUGGAGAACUUAGGCCAUCAUUCCUUGCCUUCAUUGGCGCUGGACUUGAAUGGCCACAAUUGAGCCGGAAUUGUAUCCUAGGUCUGUAGUCACAUGCCCCCCUGGCCUGUCGGAAGAAUAACUCCACCUGACUCAGACAGAUUGAUGUCCCUCUCACCCGUGGCCUAAAGCUUUUGUAACUUUCCAGAUGGGAUCAUGAGAAACUUAGCUCUCCCUCUUCUCCUGGGUGUAGAGGGGUCAGCUAUAUGUCCACUGUGCAGGCUGCUGUUUGCAGGACUCUCGGCGUUUCUAGUGCUGCUACUGAACUUGAGUUCUCCUACUGAUACUUCUCAUAGUCAUAGAGUGGUCGUUAGUAUUUAUUCUGCUAGACUUAAUUUUGUCAGAAUUGUUGCAAUGCUUAGUCUUGUGUUCCCAUAAGCACAGCACUGGUCUUUGUUUUAUUGUCUAACAACUUGUGCUCGAUGUGAAUUCACUGAGGAGGAGCACUGUAACUGUUGGGGUCUUGUCUGUAAACUUGUAACACUGAGCCAUUAAAAUACCAACAUUAAA
Molecule: long non-coding RNA, 1400 nt
Organism: Microtus ochrogaster (prairie vole)
Lineage: Eukaryota; Metazoa; Chordata; Mammalia; Rodentia; Cricetidae
Gene: C2H12orf76
Exons: 2
Source: RefSeq, a predicted model, not a curated record